Salmo salar (Atlantic salmon) is the source of this 54-nucleotide non-coding RNA. The record is from Rfam. Lineage: Eukaryota; Metazoa; Chordata; Actinopteri; Salmoniformes; Salmonidae.
UGCAUUCACUACUGUAAGUCUCUCUGGAUAAGAGCGUCUGCUAAAAUGUUUAAA